CCUACGGGAGGCAGCAGUGAGGAAUAUUGGACAAUGGAGGCAACUCUGAUCCAGCCAUGCCGCGUGCAGGAAGACUGCCCUAUGGUUGUAAACUGCUUUUAUACAGGAAGAAACACUCCCUCGUGAGGGGGCUUGACGGUACUGUACGAAUAAGGAUCGGCUAACUCCGUGCCAGCAGCCGCGGUAAU
This 188-nucleotide ribosomal RNA is filed under the name uncultured marine bacterium. RNAcentral's name for it is "partial 16S ribosomal RNA". It matches the Rfam family "Bacterial small subunit ribosomal RNA", at positions 338 to 524 of the family's 1533-position model. The record is from RNAcentral.